GAUGAACGCUGGCGGCGUGCCUAAUACAUGCCAGUCGAGCGAACAGACGAGGAGCUUGCUCCUCUGACGUUAGCGGCGGACGGGUGAGUAACACGUGGAUAACCUACCUAUAAGACUGGGAUAACUUCGGGAAACCGGAGCUAAUACCGGAUAAUAUAUUGAACCGCAUGGUUCAAUAGUGAAAGACGGUCUUGCUGUCACUUAUAGAUGGAUCCGCGCCGCAUUAGCUAGUUGGUAAGGUAACGGCUUACCAAGGCAACGAUGCGUAGCCGACCUGAGAGGGUGAUCGGCCACACUGGAACUGCGACACGGUCCAGACUCCUACGGGAGGCAGCAGUAGGGAAUCUUCCGCAAUGGGCGAAAGCCUGACGGAGCAACGCCGCGUGAGUGAUGAAGGUCUUCGGAUCGUAAAACUCUGUUAUUAGGGAAGAACAAAUGUGUAAGUAACUAUGCACGUCUUGACGGUACCUAAUCAGAAAGCCACGGCUAACUACGUG
RNAcentral lists this ribosomal RNA (497 nucleotides) under uncultured bacterium. RNAcentral describes it as "partial 16S ribosomal RNA". It matches the Rfam family "Bacterial small subunit ribosomal RNA", at positions 28 to 507 of the family's 1533-position model. The record is from RNAcentral.